GGCAGUAGCUCAGUUGGAUAGAGUAACUGGCUACGAACCAGUAGGUCGGGGGUUCGAGUCCCUCCUGCC
Molecule: transfer RNA, 69 nt
Filed under: Evtepia gabavorous
Lineage: Bacteria; Bacillati; Bacillota; Clostridia; Eubacteriales
Also listed under: 1 other name
Rfam family: tRNA
About the family: Transfer RNA (tRNA) molecules are approximately 80 nucleotides in length. Their secondary structure includes four short double-helical elements and three loops (D, anti-codon, and T loops). Further hydrogen bonds mediate the characteristic L-shaped molecular structure. tRNAs have two regions of fundamental functional importance: the anti-codon, which is responsible for specific mRNA codon recognition, and the 3' end, to which the tRNAs corresponding amino acid is attached (by aminoacyl-tRNA synthetases). tRNAs cope with the degeneracy of the genetic code in two manners: having more than one tRNA (with a specific anti-codon) for a particular amino acid; and 'wobble' base-pairing, i.e. permitting non-standard base-pairing at the 3rd anti-codon position.
Source: RNAcentral